AGUAAGGUCAGCUAAUCUGAAGCUAUUGGGCUCAUGACCCAAAAAUGAAGUUUUUUCUUCUCUUACAA
This 68-nucleotide transfer RNA is filed under the name Chiridota sp. SS-2021. Its description in RNAcentral is "tRNA-Met". The record is from RNAcentral. Lineage: Eukaryota; Metazoa; Echinodermata; Holothuroidea; Apodida; Chiridotidae.